This 253-nucleotide ribosomal RNA is filed under the name uncultured bacterium. RNAcentral describes it as "partial 16S ribosomal RNA". It matches the Rfam family "Bacterial small subunit ribosomal RNA", at positions 524 to 776 of the family's 1533-position model. The record is from RNAcentral.
UACAGAGGGUGCGAGCGUUAAUCGGAUUUACUGGGCGUAAAGCGUGCGUAGGCGGCCAAUUAAGUCAAAUGUGAAAUCCCCGAGCUUAACUUGGGAAUUGCAUUCGAUACUGGUUGGCUAGAGUAUGGGAGAGGAUGGUAGAAUUCCAGGUGUAGCGGUGAAAUGAGUAGAGAUCUGGAGGAAUACCGAUGGCGAAGGCAGCCAUCUGGCCUAAUACUGACACUGAGGUGCGAAAGCAUGGGGAGCAAACAGG